This 478-nucleotide ribosomal RNA is filed under the name uncultured bacterium. Its description in RNAcentral is "bacterial SSU rRNA". It matches the Rfam family "Bacterial small subunit ribosomal RNA", at positions 56 to 507 of the family's 1533-position model. The record is from RNAcentral.
UGCAGUCGCACGAGAACGCUUCAGCUUGCUGAAGUAAGUAAAGUGGCGCACGGGUGAGUAACGCGUGGGUAAUCUACCCUUGAAUUGGGGAUAACCCGCCGAAAGGCGGGCUAAUACCGAAUGACAUCUUGAAAAUUUAUGUUUUCAGGAUUAAAGGUGGCCUCUACAUGUAAGCUACUGUUUGGGGAUGAGCCCGCGUACCAUUAGCUUGUUGGUAGGGUAAUGGCCUACCAAGGCUACGAUGGUUAGCUGGUCUGAGAGGAUGAUCAGCUACACUGGAACUGACACACGGUCCAGACUCCUACGGGAGGCAGCAGUGAGGAAUUUUGCGCAAUGGGGGAAACCCUGACGCAGCAACGCCGCGUGAGUGAUGAAGGCUUUCGGGUCGUAAAGCUCUGUCAAGUGGGAAGAAUCCAUAUGGUGUUAAUACUGCCAUAUGCUGACGGUACCACUGAAGGAAGCACCGGCUAACUCCGUG